CGCGUGGGAACCUGCCUUUAGGUUCGGAAUAACUCAGAGAAAUUUGAGCUAAUACCGGAUAAUGUCUUCGGACCAAAGAUUUAUCGCCUUUAGAUGGGCCCGCGUUAGAUUAGAUAGUUGGUGGGGUAACGGCCUACCAAGUCGACGAUCUAUAGCUGGUCUGAGAGGAUGAUCAGCCACACUGGGACUGAGACACGGCCCAGACUCCUACGGGAGGCAGCAGUGGGGAAUAUUGGACAAUGGGCGAAAGCCUGAUCCAGCAAUGCCGCGUGAGUGAUGAAGGCCUUAGGGUUGUAAAGC
RNAcentral lists this ribosomal RNA (300 nucleotides) under uncultured Erythrobacter sp. RNAcentral's name for it is "bacterial SSU rRNA". It matches the Rfam family "Bacterial small subunit ribosomal RNA", at positions 114 to 431 of the family's 1533-position model. Lineage: Bacteria; Pseudomonadati; Pseudomonadota; Alphaproteobacteria; Sphingomonadales; Erythrobacteraceae. The record is from RNAcentral.